This 27164-nucleotide long non-coding RNA is filed under the name Eucalyptus grandis. RNAcentral's name for it is "long non-coding RNA (EGRA_LNC006021)". The record is from RNAcentral. Lineage: Eukaryota; Viridiplantae; Streptophyta; Magnoliopsida; Myrtales; Myrtaceae.
GGCCCUAAAUGUUUGUAAUCAUAGACGAGUCUCAUAUUGAACUCUUGUAGCGCUUUUCUUUUAUACCAUGAUGCACUUCUUUUAUACCAUGCUCGGUGGGAAUCUCUCCUGAAAACCGCUACCAGCAAUCCUUGAUCAUGUGUCGGAAUUGCACUUUCCCCCCACCUUUUGCAGCCGAGAAUUUGGAUCAAUCGAGAGAUCCUGAAUCGUGGGUUCUCGAAAGGUCCCCAGCUUGUUGCAUUAGCACGUUAUUUUCCUUGAGACAUCGGAGUAACACGACCCGCCUACCAGGACCACUCGGACAAAAGCUCAUUGCUAUUUGCUCGAUCUCUUCCUAAUUUCCUUCCCAUCCUGACUGUCCAAGUCCAUGAUGAUCCUAUGGACAGUCUCAGCAAUGGCUUGUCUCAACACUAAUUCUUGUAUCGUCUUUUUCACUCCCCAACCAAUAUCACACUUCCGCUCGACCUGCUUAUCAUUGGGAUCUUGAUCCAAUAAGAAUGGGAAGACGAGCAUUCAACUGAAGAGGGGUUCAGCACCCGUGAUGCAUCUAGAACCCUCCAACCGAAGAGUGGUUCUGCACCUUCGACUGAUCAGACCGGGCACCACUAGACCCCUAUUGCUGCAAACGCCUUCUUUGACCCAAGCACCGGUGUCCCCACUCGCCCGCAAGAACGUACUCCCCCCUUGCGCACUCCCACCGGGUCACUCGAGACCGAUAGGAAACUCGCCAGAAAAAUAAAGAGGACUCGCCAGAAAAAUAAACAGGACGGAGGCUUCCGGUUGAGAGUUUGGUCACCAGAAGGAUUUUGAGAUGCCAAUAGGGAGGAGUUAAGUUUACCAACAUAGAUUCACAGAAGUUACCAAUGUGUUAAAAUCACUGAAUUUUAUACGAAAUUACCAAUUCUCUUUUAGUCCAGGUAGCAAUUUUAUUUAGAUUGCUUCAAAGGCACUUAUUGUUCCUAUAAGUUAAUGACCUGUACUUGCAUAAUUUUCCAACUGGGUAAAGUGACCAACUUUUAUAUGAAAUUAUCGCCACUUUGGAAAUAUAAUGACCAUUUCAUUGAUUUACCAAUAUUUAUCUUGCGGAGCUUAAGUUACUAACUCUUUUCUCAAACUAUUAUCUCUUAUUUCAAUCAGUUAUCAACAUUUAUUUGGUUGUUUUCAAUUGCUAACUAUUCCAAUAAUUUACCAACAAUCUUCCAAAAAAUCUUCCAAAAUUUUUCCAAAGCAUUAUAAAUCUUCCAAAAUAAAUUAGAAAGUAACUAAUAGUCAUAUGAAAUUAUUUGUUCUUACUUUAGUCUUCUUACUAAUGUUUAUUUCAUUGUUUCAAAAGCACCAAUUGUUGCGAUAACUUUACCAAUACCUCUUUAAGAGUUCACCGACAGGUUAAAGUUACCACUAUAAGAAAUCAUCAGCCCUUUUCAUCAUUACUAAAACUUCAACUAAUUCAUAUUAGUUUGCCAAGUUUAAGUUACCAAGUUUUACAUAAAUAUGAAUUAUUUGUGGUACUGACUCCUAUACAUAAACUUUUAAUUCUUAUCUGGUUACUGUAACAUGUUUGUAGCCGAUUCAAUAAUAUAUUGGUAAAUUAUUUAAUUAAUUAAUAAAUUGUCAGUUUAGAAUUUAUAAUUUCGUAGAAAAACUAAUAACUUUAACACGUCGUUAAUAUGUGAAAAGAGAUGUUGAUAAAUUUUAGGAACAAUUUGUAAAUUGAAAAAAAUCAAAUAGUUGUGGUACUUUUUUAAAAAGUGGCAGGAAAAUGUUGACAUGUGUGAUGGACCAAACAAGUUGCCAACCAAGUUUUUGACCAACACUCUCACGAAUCUAAUGGUACGGAAAAUGAUAUUCUAAUUUUUAACGAACAAAACACCAUAAUUGUUUUUCUUCCUUAAAUCAAUAGAAAACUUAGGACGCAAAACUUUAUUUCAAAAAUUGAUUUUUCUAAUUUUAUUCCUUAGAGGAGAUUUUCAGCAAAAAUACGAAUUUAAUAAUGAUACAAAAUUUAUGGUCUCGGAAUAGAAAUUCAUUUCACAAUGACACACAAUUUCUCUCUCUCGAGCAGCCGGCGAGCGGUGGGUUGGUAGUUGGCUAAUAGUGAGGGCGAGCAAUGAGAAUUUUAUUUAUUUAUCAUAUUUUUUCUAGAAAUAGGGAAGUAAACAAUUUUUCCUUCUCAUUUAUGUUUCAAAUCCAUUUCUAAACUAAAAUUUUAUUUCGGAAAUAAAAAAAUGAAAUUCGUUACCAAUGGAUUUAUAUUUCAAACUUGUUUUCAGAAACAAAAAAAUAAAACAUAAUUUAGAGAACAUAAUGGUUAUUAUGCACAACCUUACUGUCAUAUGUUAAAAACGAUUGACAUUUGAAACUUGCUUUCAUGUACAUAAAAUAUACAAAUUACGUACUAAAAUAGAUCAACGAGUACAUUCUUACCUAGAAACUUAUGAAUUAUUAACCAAAUAGGAUUUGCUCUAUUUAAUAAGUUACAAACAACACUAAGAAAUUAUUUCUCGCUGUCAAGUAUAAAAACUUCACGGAGGUUGCAAUUGAUAGGCCGGCAAAAACAUUCUAUCGCCAAAAUCAUGAGGGAAGCAAAAUUUAAGGGUGUGAUGCUCGUACAGUAAGCUUUAACCCUCACAAAAUUGUCAGCGAACAAUAACAGGCAAUGUUCAACAAGAGAUUGAACUAUUGAUGUACUAACUACUAAUGUCAUGAAUUUUUGCAGCAUCACGCGAAAUGUCGCUAAUGAAGGCUCCGAUAUUAGUCCCGGACGACCCAUCCGGUCCAAUUGCGUGGCGGCAUAACUCUCGAAUGCCUUCGACCCUCCUCCUCAGUUCUCUGCUCUCACCGUCACCUGAAUCCAUGAACUUGCGCACUAGCCCUGCGAUGUCGCCCUCACCUUCGCCCACCCUCCACCCAACCUUCCAAUCGUCCACCACAAGUUUGCAAUUGAGACCUUGGUCCAUGGCUAUUGGGUACGCCAGGAAUGGAAGCCCUGCAUAGACACCCUCCUGAAUUGAGUUCCAGCCGCAGUGGGUCCAGAAUCCCCCGACCGAUGGAUGCGUCAAUGCCCUCAACUGGUCGCACCACGGCACCACGAUCCCCAUGUCGCCGUCAGGCAACAGUUCCUUCAGUCUAGAAGCCUCAUGAAGCGCCACCCACAAGAACCGAACAUUACUGUCGCGCAACCCCACCGCGAUCUCAUCCAUUUUGGAGCUUGAGACCGAAAGGAAGCUGCCUAGGGACAGGUAUAAAACAGAGCUGCCUGGCUGGCGGUCCAGCCAAUUUAGUAUGUAAUUCGAGUCGCUGUUUGAGCGAGGAUUGCCUUCGAGCUCAAAGUACGGGAUGGAUGGACCGAUGGUAUAGAUAGGAAAUGACAGGCUCGGCUUCAGGGCGUCGACUGUCUGAGAUUCGAACUCGUACACAGAAGAAAGCAACAGGUACUGCGCUCGAGGGACCCAAUUCAACAUUAGGCGGACUUUCUGCAUAACACUUCCAUCGACCAACAACGGCGAACGUGUUUGAGGAAUCUCAGGAGCAGAAUCCUCCUUUUCGUCCCCUUUUUUUGUGACAAAAAAGGUAAUUACUUAGUAAAUAAUGUGAAAUUGUAUCGAAUUGUGCAUUGAAACAGCAAUAACAACAGCUAAUUGAUUUGCGAUUUUUUGUGCAGAAGAUUUAUCGCAUUAUAGGCAAGGCUCAGAAAUCUGACUAGUUUUAAAGCACGAUGGCUGACCUGACAAAUUCUGUGGUAAAUGGCCAUUCUGCUCAUGAAGUUGUAAUUGGUAUAAGAAGGAGAAAUUUGAGGCCGCAGUUGUCCAAAAUGAGGCCACCGGAAUGUGACACGAAAUAGAGGAGAAAGAGGAAUUUUACUGUGUAUUCAUUGAUAUGUAUACAAGCACAUUAAUUACAUUUAUAGUGCAGGAAUGGAAGAGAAUAAAAGGAAAUAAUAUACAAAGAAUUUUAAAUUUCCUAUUUACUAAAACUUCCUAUUCACUAAAUCAAUCAAUCUACAGACAGAAUCAAUCACGAUCCCCAACACUCCCCCUCAAGCUAUGGCCUAUAUAUGUCGAGGACACCCAACUUGCUCAGUAGAUAACUAUGCUGUCUCUGACAUAAUGGCUUAGUGAAGAUGUCUGCAGGUUGAUCCAUUGUUCCAAUACCCUUUGUUACAAGGAUUCCUUCUUUGAUCUUAUCCCGUGUGAAGUGGCAAUCAACUUCUAUAUGUUUCGUCCUUUCGUGAAAAACAGGAUUUGCUGCCAAUUUGAGUGCAGCAUCGUUGUCACAAAAUAAUUCAGUUGGUCCACUAACCUGUAAACCGAGAUCUGAGAGUAAUCCUCGAAUCCAAACCACUUCACAAGUAGUCUUGGCCAUGGCUCGAUAUUCUGAUUCAGCCGAUGAUAAGGAGACAGUUGAUUGCUUCUUUGUCUUCCACGAGAUUAGUGACUUUCCCAAUUUGAUGCAGAAACCAGUAAUUGAUCUUCUGGUCAUUGGACAAGUAGCAUAAUCUGUAUCACAGAAUGCUGUCAUCUUCAUGUUGCAGUCACGAGAUAAGAAAAUUCCAAGUCCUGGACAUCCCUUCAAGUAUUUCACAACUUUUAAGGCUGCGUCCAUAUGAGAUUGUUUUGGACUAUGCAUGAAUUGACUGAGUAUCUGCACUGCAUAACAUAUAUCAGGUCUUGUUAUAGUAAGAUAUAUUAAUUUACCAACAAGUCGUUGAUAUGCUGACGGAUCUUUGAGCACUGGAUCCUCAACAGAUGAAGAAGAAUUCAGAUCAUAUUCAUGAGUAGUCAACUUGGCAUUUUGCUCAGCUGGUAUGAUAGCUAGUUUGCAUCCGAAUAAUCCAGCUUCAGAAACGAUUUCGAGGAUGAACUUUCUCUGACUGAGAUUGAUACCUUUGUCAGAUCGAGCAAUUUCAAUCCCAAGAAAAUAUUUGGGCGGUCCCAAAUCCUUGAUAUGGAAAGUAGAGUGCAGAUAUUCUUUAAAUCUUGCAACAUGAGAGUCAUUGUUUCCCAUAACAAGUAUAUCAUCAACAUAUAUCAGCAAAUAGAUUGAUGAAUUACCUUCACUCCAUGUAAACAGUGCAUAAUCAUGCUUAGAGUGCCGAAAUCCCGCAUUAGUCAAUGCAGUAGUGAACUUAGCGUACCACUGUCUAGAUGCUUGUUUCAAUCCGUACAGGGAUUUGCGUAGACGACAUACUUGAGACUCCCCCUGUCUGCAUAAUCCCUGUGGAAGCUCCAUAUAGAUUUCUUCAUCUAGAUCGCCAUGAAGGAAGGCAUUGUUAACAUCCAUCUGAUGUAAAGACUAAUUUCUGAUGGCUGCAAUGGACAAGAAGGAACGGACGGUGACUUCCUUGGCAACAGGUGAGAAAGUUUCAUGAUAAUCGAAGCCUUCUCUUUGAGUAAAUCCUUUAGCCACUAGCCGAGCUUUAUAUUUUUCAACUGAACCAUUUGCCCGAAACUUGAUUUUAUAGACCCAUUUACAUCCAAUGGGUUUCCGGUGCUGGGGAAGAGGAACAAUGUCCCAAGUAUGAUUCUCGAUCAGGGCAGUAAGUUCUGAUUCCAUGGCGUGCUGCCAUCUUGGAUCAUGAGAUGCUUCAUGGAAAGAAGAAGGUUCGUUUUCUUCCGAGAGACGGCUAACGCAACACAUAUGUUCUGGUGACAGUCGAUUAAAAGACACAUAUGAAGAGACAGGAUACUUCGUACCUGGAGAACGUGAUGCAGAACAAAUGUAAUCCUUAGUCCAUGUGGGUGGACGAGUUUGUCGUCCGGAACGGCGAGGUUGCUCAGCUGCUAUUGUUUCAGGUGCUGAGAAAGGCUCAGAAUUAGUUUCUGAGGGAGCCGAGACAAAAGGAGGAUCCUCAGGUAAUUGCGAAGGUAAGUCGUCUUCGGAAAUGAUAGCAUUCCUUGGAGCAGAAAUUGUUGGUUCUGGAGCAACGAACAGAUAUUGAGGAGCCAUAGAUAAAUCUUCCUCACAUAAAAAAGGCCUAUGACUUGGGGAUGAUGAUGUAGAAGAUGAAGAUAUCAUAUCUUUAAAAGGAAAAAUAUCCUCGUGAAAGAUGACAUCUCUGCUGAUGAAGAAAUGUCCCGUAGAAAUCUCCAUAACUCGAUAACCUUUUUGAAGAGAUGGAUAUCCCAUGAAUAUGCAUGUUGUGACCCGAGGGCCCAUCUUAUCCAAAGGACCGACAUUUGCCACAUAACGCAGACAACCAAAUACUCGAAGAUGAUCAUUUCGAGACUGUUUAUUAUAUAGCAGUUCAAAAGGAGUUUUCCCAUCCAGAAUGCGAGUUGGCAUGCGAUUAAUCAAAUAGGCAGCAGUGACCACACAAUCUCCCCAAAAACCUUCAGGAAUAAAGGCUUGAUAUUUUAAUGCACGUGCUACUUCUAAGAGAUGCCUGUGCUUACGCUCUACAAUUCCAUUUUGUUGUGGUGUGUAGGUGCAAGAACUCUCAUGAAGUAUCCCUUGAGAAGAUAGAAAUUUGGUACAAUCAAAGGUGAAAAAUUCACGCCCAUUAUCUGUACGGAUUCUUUGCACAGAUUGAUUGAAUUGAUUUUUAACCAAGGAAACAAAGUUCGACAUAUGAGUAAAUGUUUGACUCUUGGAUUGCAUUAGAUAUACCCAAGUGGCCCUUGUAUAAUCAUCGACAAUCGUGAGAAAAAAACGAGAUCCAUCACGAUGAGAAGUAUGAUAAGGUCCCCAGAUAUCUAUAUGAAGUAAAGAAAAUUUUCUAUCUGCUCGAGAUGUACUUUUCGGAAAGGACGUUCAAGAUUGUUUAGCCAAGGGACAUAUUGGGCAUUUAGGAUGAGGAAAACAUGCACUAUGACCCAAUCUUUGAUGCAAAAGAAUACUUUUAUUUCGACUGAUAGCAUUACAAGAAAUGCCUUUAUUUAAUAAUUCUACAUCUCUAGGGGAAUCAAUCCAGUAGUAUAAUCCUUGUGCAACACUACCCAAGCCCAUCAGUGUGCCAGUCGAACGGUCCUGAAAGAAACAAUUGUCGGAGCUGAAUAUUGCAUGACAAGAACUAUCUAUGCAAACUUUUGAGACAGAAAGUAGGUUGAAUUCAAAAUCAGGAAUGUAUAAGACAUUUCUGAGGACAAAAUGGGGACCAAGGUGAACAGUGCCGGUCUUGGUAACUUGAGUGACAUUUCCAUUUGGAAGACGCACUGAUAUGGGAAAUUCUGAUUGUCUAUCAACAUGGGAAAAAAAUUGCUCACUACAAAUUAUGUGGUCACUAGCCCCCGUAUCGAUUAUCCAUGCAUUCAUAGAAAAAGAAUUCUCCUCAUGAAAUAAAGUACCUGAGAAUCCUGCACUUUUGUCGCCCAUCUUCAAUUGAUUCAAAACUUGCAUGAUAUUCUGAUACUAGUCUUCAGUAAUUGUCUGUUGUACCCCAUCUAUCCUUUGUGUUGAGACCUGAUAAGCUGACGGUUCUUUUUCUUUUCUAUUUUUGUCAGUAGGCUUUCCGUGCAAUUUCCAGCACGUAUCAACAGUAUGAUGUGGGCGUUUGCAAUAUUCACAAUAUCUAUUUUUGAAUUUAAUAUUUUGCCCACUAACCUUUCCUGAUGAUGUGGCGCCACGUGGAUCGUAGGAUCCUUUAAAAGGAGCUGACGUGGCACCAUAAUAGCCUUCGGAUCCAUUCGAGCUGACGGAAGAUCUGUGGCCGUUCAUUCCAUCUCGCUGAUCUGAGCCGUCCAUCAGCCUGCCUGAAUUGAAGCCGUUGGAUCUACCGUGCAAAUCUGGGCCGUUCAUUCGAAAAAAAGGGGGGUUAGGGUUUCCGUCGGGUGUCUUCUUCGCCACAGCCGCAUUACCCAUUUUUGGGUAUCCCGAGCGUGCGGCUGUGCUGCUUCCUCCGGCCACCGCCUCUCGUGAGCCCAUGCCGGACGAAAAAACUGCAAGGCUCAUCCCCUCUCCUCCUCGAGCGUGUUCGGCCGCGGCGAGGCGCUGACUUUCUUCUUGGACGGCGAGCUGAUAGAUGCGUCCGAGCGGCGGCGAUGGUUCCAUGGCGAGAAUCUGAGAUCGGAAGGCCGAGUAAGAGUCGUUAAGGAUGAGUAAGAAUCGUGUGCUCUUUUCCCUUUCCCGCAUGUCUCUGUACUGCCUUAGUGUGGCCUCGGGUCCCUGGAGACGCUCCUCGGCCGACUCCAACUCGUUCCACAGAGAGGAGAGACGGUUGAAGCAAGCAGUAACUGAGAGGUUCCCUUGCUUCAAUUCCGUCAGGCUUUGCGUGAUGCUGAAGAGCCGUGCUCGGUCGAGCCGGCCGUACAUCUCCUUGAUGCUGUCCCAGAUCUGCUUGGAGUCUUCGGUGGGUGGCAGUCCAGCGGCAACGUCGGGAGCGAGCGUGUUGCCGAUCCAAGUGCGAACCAACUGGUUGCACUUUCGCUAGAGACGCUGGAGGCGUUCGUCGGUCGGGAACGGGACGGCUCCGUCGAGGAAGCCGUCCUUGUCCUUCGUCACCAGAGCCCGCCGGAGAUCACGAGCCCACGACGAGUAAGUUUCCGGUCAAGUAAGUUGGUUGUUGAUCAAGCGUAGUUCGGGGCCAUCCGCCGGUGAUGUGUAAAGUGGGUUGCCGGGUUCAAGCCGGCCGCCGCCGAUGACCGGAAAAAGGGGCGACAUAUAUCUGGGUUGAAAUGUCGGGUAGGGAUUCGUCCCUUGACCCGGCAUGGAUCCGGAUUCCUGACCCAGCGGCGUGGAUUCGGGUUGAGAUCUCGGGUAGGGAUUCGUCCCUUGACCCGGGACUUGACCCGGGAUAGCUCCGUAUCCUUGACCCGGCACAGACGUGAAUCCUUGGCCCAAGUUCAUCUGGCCCGAUGCUUUAGUGGGGCCUGGCAUUGGUCCAUAUGGGUACUGGGACCACAUCUGUCCUGGCCCAGAAGCCCACUGAUACCAAUUAAUUGGUGGGAAAUUCGUGGGCCAUUGCGUUGGGCCGAGGAUCUGGCCCAUCGUAGGAGCCAAUCUUCCCGAAAGAGUUUCUUCUGAAGAUCUUUCUUCUUCAGAGGAUUUGAGGUGGGUGUUCCCUCUGUUGAAGAGCCCUCAAUAUUCUUUGUCACAGUACUCAAAAAAGAGUUGAAUUCCUAACCGGUUUGCUGGUCUGUUUUGCAGGUGGGAAUCGUGCAACAACAGCCCAGAAGAUGAAGCGGUGGCAAUUCAAAAAAUGCGGAAGCUAACCAGGAGUAUCUGCUCUGAUACCAUGACACGAAAUAGAGGAGAAAGAGGAAUUUUACUGUGUAUUCAUUGAUCUGUAUACAAGCACAUUAAUUACAUUUAUAGUGCAGGAAUGGAAGAGAAUAAAAUGAAAUAAUAUACAAAGAAUUUUAAAUUUCCUAUUUACUAAAACUUCCUAUUCACUAAAUCAAUCAAUCUACAGAUAGAAUCAAUCACGACCUCCAACAGAAUGUUCCUCUGGUUCCCAACGUGGACCGCCCAGGACAGGAACGUGUCGGCCACAAUGAGGGUCGGCGGAGGGCAGAGCCGAUCGAGCACCUCCUUGAACGGAGCUUCCAUCUUCAUGGAGACGGCCUCCACGAACUCCGAGAAGUGCUGAGCACGGACCCUCUCAGACGGGAGCACGUUCGGGAUGGUGGCGAAGGAUACAUUGCUCAGCUUCGAGUCAGAGCCUACGAGGCCGAGCCACUCCUCGGUGAGGACAAGGGUGACGGUGACGUGCGGGGCUCGGGAGGCCAGGAUCUUGUACAGGUUCAUCACAGGAUUGAUGUGGCCGCGUCCGGGAUACAGCAUCGCCACCAUGUGGCAGGUCGAUGCUUGGCGGUCCAUUUGAGCGACUAGCCCCGUGGGCAGCGGCUAUGACAAGGAGCCGAGCGAGAGACGGAAGCGAUCAAAUUUAGGGCGAAUGCCGAGAAUCAUGGGGAAACGAUUUGAUAAAGUGAAGUGAUGGCGUCACGCCUUACCAAAUUAAUUUGACCGAUCGGUGCAAAACGAAAAUAUGGAGCUUAACACGACUUUUGUGGUGUGUAUGACUCUUUCGCUUGUGGCUGCGGACAUGAAAGGCAGCAAUUUUUCAACGUGGGUCCCCAAAAUUUGCAUUUAUGUCGUGCUCAUUCGAGGCGGUCGACCAUGGUGUUUAAUAAACUUUACCGAAUGAGUCACACAUAGACCCGUCAAAUGGGUGGGUCAGAUCAGAUUUGAGUUGAAUCAAAAAUAGAUCGACCCCUAUUUGACCAAUUUAACCUGUUUUGACCCACAUUCAUGUAAUGUAAAUCUAGUGAUCCAUAUUCGACCCGAUUCAUACCCAACACAUUCUCGACCCAACCCGUAUUGCUAAAACCUAUUAAUAUUCUAGGAAAACCCACACCUACUAUAUGCUAAUUGGAUUAAAACUUCAAAUUAAAUUAAAAAUAGUAAAUAAAAUAAAAUUAAAAAUUAAAAAAAAACCUAUUAAUUGAAAUAUUUAUAAAGAAUUACACCAUGCACAUGCUUCUCUUGUUUGAAGUGAACAUAUUAUUAAGUAACUGAAAACUGUAACAUGAAAAAUCUUUAACUAAAUCUUUAAAAGCUCAUUUUUAUGAUAUUUUUUAUAGAUAAAAAAAAGUAUUGCUAAAACACUUUUAUGCAAUACAAAAUUAAUGGGAAAUUUUUAUAAUUCUUUUAAAAAUAUUUUAAAAAUCAAAUUUUUAUUUUUAAUUUAAAAAUAUAUAAUUAUUUUUUAAUUGAAAGAAUAUAUAUAUUUUUAUUUUUUAAAAUAUUAUUUUUUAUUUUUUAUUUUUUAAAAUAUAACUUUUAAUUAUUAUUUUUUCUCUUUUCUCUUUUCUUCUUUUUUAGUCGGCUGCUAGUAGGGGUGUGCAACGGAAACCGCCCGAACCGGGACCGGACCGGACCGGACCGGACCGGCCGGUUUUGGGCGGUUCCCACGGUCGGCGGUCCGGUUCCCUGUUCCAAGGUGGGAACCGGACCAACCGGACCGACCAGACCGGACUAAAUUUUUUUAUAUAUAAUUUAUAUACAUAUAAUAUAUAAACACGUAUAAUAUAUGAAUAUUAUAUAUGAAACUUGUUGCAAUCGGAAUUGCAAUUAAGGUAAUAAUCUCUUAUGUGGCCAAGAGACCACCAAAGCUCUUAGAAAACUUAUUUGUUAGUUUUAUCUUCUACUCGAUGUGGGAUAAGGCUCUAGAAGUUCCUCAUGCUCACUCUCUCUCUCUUGCUCCCCUCACUUGCAAAUGACAAGGCACUUCAAGCCUCAAAGAGUCCGACAUCGACUAAACAUUUAAAGCAUAGAAGAUAGAUUGUCUAUAAAACCUAAGCCAAGCACAAAUUUUACUCAAAUUGUUCAUGGCUUUUGUGCUUAAAAUUAAGAGUGAAACAAAUAAAUUAUAAUUAAUAUUCACGCAAGUGAAGUUUGAAUAUUUUGCACGUGAAAACACGUGUGAGUAAUUUUAUUAAAUCGCCCGGGAACCGAAUUGGAUUGAUCGGUCCGAAGCAUGGUCGUUCUUUAAUGAAUGGUCAUUAUUUAGUGAAAAAAGAAAGUGUUGAUCCUAUUGAACCGAACCGGACCGGACCGGAACCGAUGGUCUGGUCCACGGUUCCCAAAAUUGGGAACCGGUUUUCCCGGUCCUGACGAGCUUAAGCUCGCCACUUGAGCCUCGCUCAAUGUUGGCGGGGCCUCGACCUCGCCAGAUCGGCAAGAUCGAGCCUUGCUAGUCAUUAGGCAAGCUUGGCCUCACCAGAUCUAGCAAGACUUGAGCUCACCUAACACCGGCAAGCUUGAGUCUCGCUAGAUUCGAUGAGGCUCGAUCUUGCCGAUCUAGCGAGGUCGAGGCCCUGCCCAACGCUAGCGAGCUUGAGUCUCGCUAGAUUCGGCGAGGCUCGAGCCUUGCCAAUCGUCUGCGAGGCCUUGACCUUGCCAGAUCAACGAGAUUGAGCCUUGCCAGACAUCAAGUGAGGCUGGAUCUCGUCGAUCUGACGAGGUCGAGGCCCCGCCUGACACUAGCAAGCUCGAGUCUCGCCAAAUCUAACGAGGCUCAAGCCUCACAAGUUGUUGGCGACCACGAGCUCACAUGCCAACGAGCUCAAGCCUCACUUGGCCUGUCACCGGCCACUGGCUAAGGAAGGACAAAAAUGAAAAAAAUAAAUAAAGAAAAUUAAAAGAAAAUUAAAAUAUGAAAAAUAAUUAUAAUUUCAAUUUUUGAUAAAAGAAUAUUUUUAUAAAGUUAAAGAGGGAAAGAUUGUGUGGGGCUUGGGUUGGAAAUUUAUAAAUGGGUUCGAAGGUUCUAACCCACUUGAUAUUUUAAAUGGGUUGAAAAUGGGUCACAAAUUCUGAUCCAUUUUCAACUCAUUUAAAUCAUACUCACUUUUUUUACCCAUUUUUAGUUGGUUUUUAAAAGCCUCUAACUCAUAUACAACUCAUAUAAAUAAAAUGUGAGUCCAAAAAUGGAUCCAUGACCCAUUUUGACACCUCUAGUCACAUGUUGUUCCUUACAUAUAGACCCGCCAAACGGGUGGAUCGAAUCGAGUUUAAACUGGAUCAUAAAUGGUACGAUCCACAUAGAUCAAAAUCUGUUUGGACUUAUUUUCACCCGACCCAACCCAUACUGUUCACACUUACAUAUUUAACGCAAUCUACAAAAAGUCAUAGAGUGAGUAAGUACAAGAUCCAAUGAAGAUGAGAGAAACUAAAGAUAAAGGGAGAACCUAGUGUAGGGAUGAUAUUGGAAUGAAAAGUUGCCAACAUUCAGUUUUUCUUUGGUGUGAUAUUGUUUUUUUUUUUUUUUUUGGUAAAGGUAAGAAUAUAUUAAGGAAAAGCUAGCUAUACAAAAAGUCAGUGCCAAAAAUCUUACACUCAUAGUGCAAAAAGAAGAAUGAUUGGAAGGGAGCCGAUGUAAAAGAACUAGAACAAACACAACAACACCAACCGAAACAACCGGUAAACACACCACGGAAAACGCCAAAGAUCAAAGAAGAUCAACUCAAUAACGGUAGCCACAACACCAUCCAUAAGUCCAUAACGACUCACCAUCAGUCCGUAUGCUCAGUAAGGCCACUGACGAUGACAGAGGGGUCAAAGAUCCAUCCUCGUUGGAGCCUUCUAUUCCUGGGGUUGUCCGGUACUUUAUUGAAGGUGAGGGCUUUGUCUUUCACAACUUUGAUGAAAUGAUUCUUCAAAGUUGCAACCUCAAGGGCUUCACCUCGGAAGAUGAUGCUAUUCCUUUUCUUCCAUAUAAGAUGACAUAAGGCCCCAAAAGAAAAACAUGCGAUAGAGUGAAAGAAAUCAUUACCUGAUAGAAAUUUCAAUGCCCAAAGGAGAUUUUCUACCCGAGUUCUGUUACGCCAUGGAAUAUUACAUCUUUCGGCCCAAAAGAAAGCAAGUGUUGCAGGAACAUGACAAUCAAAGAAGAGAUGAUCAAUAGAGUCUAGGAUGAGAUUGCAAAAAGCACAUAAUUCAAAAUCAAUCCUUCCAAUGGAAAUGAGAAAAGCUUGAGUAGGCAAUAUGUUCUUAAUGAUCAGCCAGAGGUUGAAUUGAAACCUUAGGGCUAUAGCAUUAUUCUAGGUAAAACAAGCCGAAACCCGAUUCUUUUUGGUCCUUAUCGCCUUCUAAGAUGAGGCUACCGAAAAAGCACCAUCAGAAGACUCGCGCCAAUAGAAACGAUCAGGGGUCCAAGAGAGAACUGGCAAGGCAAACUCCCAAGACUCCAAAAGAGUCCUGAAAACACGGCCCUCAAGCGAAAGUAAAUCUGCCACUGUUGCUUGUCUAGUAAGUCCCGAGGUAGCAAUAAGAGAGUUUGGGAAAAGGAGGCUCCAAGGGCCUUCCUAAUGCCAAUUGUCAUACCAAAGCGAGAUCGAAUGACCAUCACCCAGUUUCCAAAAAAAGGAAGCCCUAAAGUCUCUUCUCAAUUGGAGAAUUUUCCUCCAAGCCUAAGAACAUACGGUGGGAAUGGAGGAAACCCAAAAGUGAUCCUUUUUUAACAAAUUGGUGUGGAUCCACCGACACCAAAGGGAUUCUUUGUCAGUAAACAAAACUCAAAUAUACUUAAACAUGGCAGCUUUAUUACAGUCCUUUAAUCUGCGAAUACCCAAACCACCUUCCUCCUUAGGAACACAAACAUCUUCCCAAGAAAACUUUUGCACCCCUCCCCCCUCCCGGCCUAGGGAUGGGCCUUUCCAGAGGACUUGUUUCAAAAUACAUUCAAUACGAUCAAUAACCGAAGCAAGAAGAGUAAACACAUUGGCCCAGAAAACCUGAAUAGAGUGGAGUACUUUUGAUAGCCUAAAUUUUCAGAAUUUGUUUUCGAUUAAAUAAAUCUGGCAUUUCAUUGAUGCAACUAUAGUAUUAUUCUCUUAGCUGAUCACUCACGAGACAACUGGACUAUCUGGGGAAACAAUUAAGGAAUCUAAAUGUAAUUGGACUUGAGAAUUUGAUUAGGAAUCGACUGCUUGACUGUGUUGGUCUGCAAGGGUCAUUACGGCACCGUCAAAGAUCAAUCAGAGAUUAGAGAUAGGUCGAUUCAGCUGAGAUAUGUGAUCAGAGUGUGGGUGAUUCCACUUGAUUGCAAAAUUCUCAUCGAUCAAUACAAAAUUGAUUUUUUGUCGUUUUGGUACCUAGUGCUUGUAAUUAAAAUCUCGAGAUUUUCAUGACAAUUGAGAGUUGCCAAUGUAUCAAAGAUGUAUAAUUUGACUCAAGAUAAAUCAAUCACGGGUCAAUUGCAUAAAAAAUUCCUAAAAGUGACCCGAUAGCCUAGGUCGCGCUAAAAUCGCAUCGGAGUAAAAUUAACCGAGAAUUUGAACCCGAUUUUAGAAAUUGAAAGUUCUGUGCUGUCACGAGCAAUUUUAGGAACGUCUAUUCAUCCUCUGAAAUUUUUUUAGAGAUUCCGGAAUUUUUAUGGAAAAUCGGUUUGGAUGUUGCGGAAAAUUAGCGGAAACUCAGAUGGGCUAAAUCGAUGGAAAUUGGGACUUCUAAACUAAGCCUGUGAGUGUCGGGGAUUUAUAGAAAAUUGUUUGGGAUUUUUCUUCAUCGAAAUCGGACCUCAAUUUGAGAAAUUGAGUAAGGAAAUUGAAUUUAAUUGAGUGAAAUUUGGUUUUGGACAAAGGGCUGGAAAUUUUUGCAUCAAAAUUUAAUUUAAUGGAAAAUGCAACUUAAGAAAGAAUUAGGGGGACAAUGCAUUUAAUUAAGUGGAUGAAGCUUGGACUUUUAUAACAUUUUAAUCAUUUCCUUGACCAAUUGGCCUCAUCCAUUCCCCUUCUUCGUGCGUCUUCAUCGUCGACCCCCUCUGCUUUUGUCUUUCACUUUCAUUUUCCUUCACAUUUCUUUACUUCAGCUCUCAAUUUCCCUUCAUUUCUGCCGCUCCCAUCCACUCUCUCUCUCUUAGAAUCUUCUCUACCAAUUUCCCAAGCCCACGCCCAUGAUCUCUCUCUCUCUCUCUCUCUCUCUCUCUCUCUCUCUCUCUCUCUCUGUGCUGAAUUUUUCUCUCACGGCCAGCAUCUACUUUCAUUCCCUUUUAUUUUGUUGAACGAACCUGCAACUCCACCGCUUCAUCAUUUUCGUUUCUUCUUUGCUCUCACCGCCACAUGUCCACGGAUUACUUCUCCUCAGUCGAACCAGCAAACCGAGAUUGCUCCCUUCUGCUAAUUGUUGACCAGCAACGUCCCACUUCGGCCACGAAUCCAGUCGCCCUCCUGCCAGCAGCCGCGCGUCCCAACCUUCAUCCAUCUUCGUCUGCUUCUCCUCCACCGAUUUGCACGUGGACAGCGAAGUCAGCCCAGUCCAUUCUCGUCCAUUCAGCCGCGAGCAAUUGAGCCCAGCGGCCCAUCUCCAGCGAAGUCCAGCAACGCCAAUCCACGCUUGAGUAGCCCAGCGUUUCUGUAGAUUUCAGCCCACCUUCCUUUAUUCUUUGCUCCACUUGGCCGUGUAGUUCAUUGACCGGCCCAUCCUUAGCCCGCUCAGUCACUCCACGAAGCCAGUUCAGCAGCCCAACAAAGUCCAGCCCACAAGUGCAGCAAGCCCAUCUCAGCCAAAGCCCAGCAAUUUGAAGUCUAUCAAACGCCCAGGUUUCGGCCCAGUCCAGCGAAGCCUAGUGAAAUCAUAAGCUCGCGAGUUUGAGGCCCAAGCCCAGUGUUUGCAACAAGCCUGCCCUGAGUGUCCGUCGACGCCGCCGAAAAUUUGGAUUUCGGCCACCGUCGCGUCGUCUUUGCGGUGAACCGGUUUCUACAAUAAACUAGUGAGUUUAUGCAUUAAACCCUUCUUAGUAGGCUAAUGAUGUAUAAGGGGUGUUUAGUUUAAUUUAAUUAGGAAUUAGGUGGUUAGUUAGAUUAAAUUAGUGAUUUAAUUAGUUAAUUGUGCAUGUUAUGCAGUUAGAUUAAAUUAAUCAAGGCCUAGAUAGGAUGUAUUAUUUAUCUAGAAAGGUUCUAAGUUCGUAUUGGUUUUUAAUUUAGUGAUUUUGGCCUAGGUUAGUAUUUUUAGAAUUUAAAUUGAUUUAUUUAGUUAAUUUUAGUAAUUAUUUAAUUAUUAAAUAUUUUCCAAAAAUUAGGCCGGGAUAGCUAGUGAUUAGAAUUUCAUGCGGAUUGCAAUGGUGUCAUUAAAUUCUAUAAUUAAGUGUUAAAUUGUGCAAAUUGAGUGCUCAUUUGAUUUUUGGUAUUUAAUUCCAAAAAUUGUGAAUUUCCAAUAUUUAUUUAGAAAAUCCCGGGUGUCGGAUUUUGACACCAAAAAUAGUUUUAUGUACUAUAUAAAACAGUGAGAUUUUAAAAAUGAAUGGUAUCAUAUUUUAUGGGUCGAGUUGAUCGUGUACCCACACAUGACUAUUUUAUUGGGUAUUUCUAAUACGAAGAAAACAAACCAAGAUUACCAUUUUAAUAGAGGCAUUUGAAUGCAAGGCACGGUAUCCUGGGCCCAGAUUGAAUUGUCGUGUGUUGGUUACGAGAAACUGUCCCGAGCUGUUGAGAUGGAUGUUACCCCUAUAUGGGACGCCCCUAGACAACGGAAAGUUGAUCGCAGUAGAUUAUGGACCCUAUGCUCCUUCGAGAAAGCCGUCGAUAUGGUGACGUGCUAUGCUCAAUGGGGUGAGACGAUGCCUGUCAAUGCCAGAAAACCGCCAAACAAAGAGUAGGCUGUGCUAUAUGCUGAGAUCAAAACUAGGAACGCAUGAUUAAUUGAGUGUGGCAUUCCAGUUGUUGGAACUUAUUUGUUGCUCAUGCUCUCAUGUUGUCUAUGAUAUAAAUUGUAUUAACCUGCAGGGUGGAUCUGAAAUGAGGUAAGUCUCCUUAAUUGUGUGAUUGCAUGAUUAGGAUGCUUCUAAGCGUAUUUCCCUCCUAAUCAGGGUUUAGCGUGUAAACUUGCUGAGAUUUAUAUGUCACCCCGUCGUGGGAUUAAAUUUUUUAGGGUCAUCGAGUGGAGGACCUGAAGCCGAGAGGAGGUAACCUGAAGUGUAGGUCGGUUAGGACCGCUUUUUUUUGGCAAGAUAAUUUUAGUAGUCUUUUUGGUCAUAGACCUUGUACAUGACUUUAUGUGAAUAUAAAGGCAUGUUUGUUUGUAAAAUUAUUGUCCUGCUUUUCUAUCCUAAGAUGAUUACUGUCAGGGGAUUUAUUUUCGCUUCCUCAUCUGCAAUAUAAAGAAAGGGUCGGCGACUUGUUCUGGGAAGUCACAAAUAUUAUCGAUCAGAGAGGAAUGGACGCAUGCUCAAGAAUCGGGAUGUGACAGUACUGAUCUGAUCAACUGGAGUUUUCCAGUAAACGAAAGAAACCGCUAAGCCCAAGUCUAAACUCUGGCUGUGAUCUGGUCAAUAAGUGCAAUACAGUUCGUUUUACCAAGCCUUGAAGAAAUAAUUGAGACUCCUAGAUAGCAUACUGGAAGCUUCCCUUCCUGAAAACCCAAGGUCAGAAGAAUAUGCCUUUGCAAAGUAGGAGAGCCUCCCACCAUAAAAACUUCACUCUUGUUUUUAUUAGGCAAUAAGCCACUCCAAGAGGAAAAGAUGUCAAGUCCUCUCUUGAGUAUGGUCACUAAGCCAAGUAUUUUUUUGGUGUGAUAUUGUUGGUAUUCCUUGGUUGUGAGAAAGAAAAACUUACACAACCAACGAGGGGUGGGUAGGGCUUGCGGGUAUAAGCCCUCAUUAGCAAAAACACCCCUUGGCUACCACCUAACAGCCUACACCAGGUUCUACCAAAGAGCCAACUGAAUGUGUAGGUAAGCACGAGAUCUAGUGAAGGCGAGAGAGAUUGAAGAAAUAGUCGAAUGAAUUGGUUCUAAUUAAAUUAUAAACUCAUUUAUGGCCCCUUUUACCUAGCUGGAUAACCUAUUUAACAUCUAUAUAAACUAAAAAAUGGGCUUAUGAUUCAUUCUGAUGGGUCUACUUACAUAAUAGGUAUGACUAACAUGUUUGAUUUUCCCCUAACAUUUUCUUUUUUCGUUUUUUGCUUGAAAGAAUACUGUGAAGAUAGAAUUCAAUUCAGGAUGAUCAAAGAAACACAUACUGGUCGAGAGCCACAAUCGGCACACUUCUAUCAUGAGUUGGAUUUGCACUUUCCUUGAGCCUUUUUGCGGCCAAGCAUUCGGAUCAAUGGAGAGAUCCCAAAUCGCGAGUACUCGAGAGUCUGCGGAUUCUUGCAUUAGCACAUUAUUUUCUUCGAGAUGUCGCCAAUGAAAGCAUUGAUGUCAGAGUGAGACAACCCGCCAUUCAGGAUUGCUUGGCCACAAGCCUAUUGAAGCUCGCUUGCCAUCUUCCUGAUUGCCUUCCCAUCCUCACUGUCCAAGUCCAUGAACCUCUGGACAAUCUCAACAAUGGGGAGAAGUACACUAUCAGUGUCAUAAGUUGUGUACGGCGCUCACUUUGGUGUCAAAAGUUUAUGUUAGAUCACUUAAGUGCCAAAUCAGAGAAAAAACGAUCACUUUGGUGCCACCGGCGAGAGAUUCCGUUCAAAAUGAUUACGUGGCUUUUCUAUUUUAAAAAAAAAAAUCGAGGAGCCUUUUAAACGACGUCAUUUUCCAUCCUCCUUAAGAAAAUGACAUCGUUUUGCCGUCAAAUAUGGAUGUCCUCACAAAAACGACGCCACACAGCUCAUUUGGGAUUGAAAUUAGGGUUUUUUUUUGUUCAAUCCUCGCCAACCUAGCUUGCUCAGCCAUCGUUGCUUGGCCACCGUGCUCCGCCACCGUCGCUCGGCCACCAUCGCUUAGCCUCCAUCAUAGUUGCUCGACUAGGUGAGCAAGGAGAGGUUGAGGUUGUUUCUCGGGCAAGAAGUGAUGGGAAAAUAGGAGGCAAGGGCGGAGGAGGAGGAGGAAGAAGGGGGAUCGAAGGUGCAAAGAGAGAGAGAAGACGAGGAGUGCGAGGUGUUCUUCGGGGAAGAAGACGACGCCGCCAUGCCCUCUCUCUCUCUCUCUCUCUCUCUCUCUCUCUCUCUCUCUCUCUCUCUCUCUCGAUUUGAGGAUUUAGGGUUUCGACUUGGGAGAAAACACCAAAUGACGUUGUUUUGUGGUUUACAUGCUAAUUGUACUCUUCGGUGAGCCACAUUAGCAUCUAAAAUUAAUGAAAAAACUGCCACGUCAGAUUUCCGGCCAACCCGAUCAGAGUUGACACUCAAAUGAUCAUUUUUCAAAAUUUUUGGCACUUAAGUGAUCUAACGGAAACUUUUUGCAUCAAAGUGAGCGCCGUACACAAAUAAUGACAUUGAUAGUAUACUUAUCCCCUCAGCAAUGGCUUGUCUCGGCACCAAUUCGUCCCUUAACUUCUUCACCCUCCAACCAAUCUUCUAGUCCUGCUAAAAAAUCAGGAAGGCAAGCAUCGGGACGCUGGCAAAGAUAGCUUCCAGAGUGGAGUUCAACCUGCAGUGCGUCCAAAACCCUCCGACUGCAAAGUGGUUCAGCACCUUCAAUUGAUCACACCAAGGCACCACCAGACCCCUGUCGCUGCAGAAACCGUCUUUGACCCAAGAAUCACCGUCUCAGCUCACCCACAGGAACCGAACUCCGCUUCUGCGCACUCCUGUUGUGAGCUCCUCCAUUUGGUCGCUCGAGACUGAUAGGAAACUCCCCAGAGAAAAGUACAGGACGGAGGCUUCCGGUUGAGAGUCUAGCCACUAAAGGUAAUCGGGACGGUCAUUUGGAGACGCCGACAGGGAGGAUUUAGCUUUGAGUUCCAUGUAAGGUAUUAAAGGUCCGACGGUGUAAAUAGGGAGCGGAAGUUCGGCUUUGAGAGCAUCGACAGCACGGGCUUCGAGCUUGUAAAAGGUGGUUAAGAUUAUAUACUGAGCUUUCGACAUCCAGGAGAAGCAUUCCAGUGCUCUGUCCAAAGUCGCUCGGCCUUUGCCUUCAAAGAACGUCGGAAGAUCAACCAAACGGGUCGGUGGAAGUCCUGGUAUGUAGUCUACGAGCUCAUCUCCCCGUUCUGUUGUACAAAACACAUCAACAAUAUCCAUCAAUUAAUUCACAAAAUCAGAAAGUAUAAAAUUGAAAAAAGAAAAAAAGAAAAAAGGCUUCUCCAAUCAGACCGCACCUGCCAGAUCAAUGGGGAAAUGAUUGUUCUGAGCAAGGAGGUCAAAGUGAUGGAACACCGAGAACACCAAGACCGACAUGGUCCAGAACGAUCCCACCUGGAUCUUCCUCUUGUUCCCGAUCCGGACUGCCCAGAAAAGGUACGUGUCGGCCAAGAUCGUGGUCACUAGCGGCUCGAGCCGGUCGAGAAGUUGCUCUACAGGAGCCUCCAUCUUCGUCAUCACCGCUUCUAUGAACAUAGGGAAGUUCUCCGCACGGUCUCGCUCGGACGGUAUGACAUUGGGUAUGGAGGCAAACUGGACUGCAUCAGGCUUCGGCUCAGACCCGAUGAACCCAAGCCACUCCUCCGUCACCUUUGUGGUGACGACAACAUCGGUCGCCGUCGAUGCGAGGAGCUUGCAGAAGUUCAUCAUGGGGUUUAUAUGGCCUCUUCCCGGAUAUGGAAUUGCCAUCACAUGUGCCAUCCUCGCCGCCCCGGCCUGUGACCGUGAGAGAUCCAUUGACUCAACGGCUCAAGGAACUCCUAGUGGAAAAAGGAAAGAGAAGAAAAGAGGAGAUGGAUUCAACUGGGACCAGGUUAAUCAGUGUUCGCGGAUAGGAGCAGGAUUUAGACUGACUGGUGAUAACAAAUUCAUGACGGUUGUCUCUUCUUUCAAAUUUAGGUCUUGUAACCAAAGCGAAAAAGGCAAAUAAAGAAAGAGUCAAUCUUUCAAUAGGCACCAGAAUUGCGCCAUCACAUUAUCAAAGGAGGCUAAAUGGGUGGAAUGCGCUAUUAUUCAAUGUUCCGCUCUCAUUUCUCAGUUGACACUUCGGCAUAGGGACGACCCUGUAUUUGUCACGAUGUCUUCCACCAGACGCAAUCAUGCGGCAUAGCGUGCACAGUAGGGCCGAGGGAUAGUGUAGUCAAAGUAGAGCUCCUCACAUGAAGUGCAAAGCUCCCGCAGAUUUGACUAAUUGACAGCUAUAAACGUUUUAAUGCAGUGCUGAUUUAGAGAGAGCUUUGCUUUACUGGUUUUCGAGCUUGUAUUGAUGCAAACCACUGCGCGCGAAAGCAUCGAUGCUUCAAUAGGAGGAUCCGCCCUCCAGGAGGGUAUUUCACGUUGCCCCUUGAAAUUCCUUCACGAGGGAAGAAAUCACUAGACGCCUUCCUUCUUCUUGAUUCACCAACCGAUCCUCCGAUCCUCCACGAUCAGCUGGCGGUUCAAGACUUCAUGCUCAGGCCUGCAACGAUUUCAUCCAUCUGGCCUUUUGAUGCGGGGCGGAGGCUUCCCUGCAGCACAUACAACACCUUGCGCUGUGAGUCGAGCCAUCACCAGUAAUUCAGGUCAUGCUUGAGAUUGGAUAGAGGUAAAUCAUUACUCUGCUCACCAGUUACAGUAAAUUAGACUUUGGUUUAAUGAUAACUGGUUUUUAGACAAAACUGGCGCCCUCUGUCUCUGCGUAAGCAGUCGCCUCUAUGCGGGAAUUCCAAUUCAAAUGAACUAAACUGAAAGCACUUCAAGCUUGCCAUCUUUAAAGGUGGGUCAUCUUGCCCAUUGAUACACUAGAACUUCAAUCUGGAAAAAUUUUCGAUGCUGCAGAAGCUACUGAUCAUUCAUUCUCUGAUCUGAAUGGCCCAUUGCUAAGUUUGAGGAACUAUAGUCUCGUUUAGAUUUUUGCCUAAUAAAUUAUGCUAAUCACGGUGAGGAAACAGGAGAUUCGACAGUGUUGUGUGUUUUAAGGCCGAACAACCAUUGUAUUACCGGAGACACUGUGAUUUCAGUUUCAGAACUCAUUGAUGUAACGAUGGUAAGACAAAGCGGAGACUGAGCUUACCAGGCGAAUCAACCGGGGAGUGACCGUGUCGUUGAUGGAAGUGAUGGAAGGAAGAGAAACUCGACCCCCCUGCUGACCAGAACGAUGCCACUGGAAUAUUCCUCCGGUUCCCCGCGCGGAGGACCCAGCUCAGGAAAGUGUCGGCCAUGAUGACGGUCGGUGAGGGCCGGAGCCGAUCCAGCAGCACCUCGAACGGUCCCCCCAUCUUGGCGAAAACGGCGUCGGUGAAUUCGGAGUAUUGCUGAGCCAGACCAGUUCUGAGGGGAGCACGUUCGGGACGGUGGCAAAGGAUAGGUUGGUAGGCGAGCCACUCUUCGGUGACAACGAAGGUGAUGAUGAUGUCCGGGACUCUGGAGGACAGAAUCUUGCACAGGUUCAUCAUGGGGAUUAUGUGGCCUCGUCCCGGAUAUGGCAUCGCCACUAUGUGGAGGCUGCCGGCGCCGGCAGCGGCCACAGUCAAGGUUGAUGGCAACGGAGGUUCCAUUUUCUUCCAGUUGUGGCAGCCGUCCAACCGGUGGAUUUUUCUUGGAGUUCAAUUGAGGCUGUAGAGUUAGGUAGGUUUGACUCGUCGAUGGGCGAGAGGGGGAGGUUAAAAUAAUGGAGCUAGCGAGCACCCUUCUCCUCGGCCACGCGGUUGUCGUUUCGUCGUUAUGGAGGAGCGACAGAUUAUAUCAUAGCAAUUUCUCUUGGAUUUUGCAGUCUAACUAAGAGACAAUAUACUUAGAUAUUAUUGAUCAUUCUUUGAUUUAAAGGAUCAUCUCAUCUCAAUUGAAAAUGUAAAUACUUUUUUGAGCCAAAAUCAAGCUCCGUAGUGCUCUUAUAUUGUCUUUUCUUUCUUUUUCUUUUUCUUUUUUUCAUAUCAAAGUAAUAUGCGAGUUUGAUCAUUGGGCUUUUAACAUUCAUAAUUCAAGAUUUUGAUUUGGAGUAUCAAUUUCUAUUCAUAAAAUAAUUGUGUAUUCUCAAUGACUAUCGCAAUACGGUCGCGUUGACUAGUCCAUUUCAAGAUAGAGUAAGGUUAGGCGCAAUAAAUUUUGAAAUCCGUUGGUAAUUUAAACUUUGCUCGAUUACUUUAUUUAAAAUACAAGUUUAUAAGUUACUAAUAAUCUGGGGAGUAUCAACAGUUAUUCAGCCAUUAAUGUUUCAUUAGUUACCAGCAAUCUCGUGUAAGUACUAGCAGUGAUCAAUUGUCCUAAGUUAUCAGCUAUUUAUAUAACUUAUAAUUAUUUACAUGCAUGGUUCACCUAUAUAUCGAGUUAAGCAAUUGAAUGGGAAAUCCCCAACUUUUUUACCAUAUAUAAUUUACUCUAUUCAAAAAGUUAUAAACAAUAUUCAGAAAUCAAAUUUCCCUGUCAUUAUUUUACAUCGGGGAGACUGUAAUUCAUGAUAAUGACUAGACAAUCCCAUUCUAUUGCCAAAAUCAUGAGAGAAGCAAAAUUAAAGGGCGCGAUACUCAUGAAGUAAACUUUAACACGCAAAAUUUACAGCAAAUUAUAACUCCAGCUAUGCUUAACGAGAGAUUGAAGUACUAAUUAAUGUCUUGAAUGUUCACGGUAGUGCUCGAAAUGUCCCAAUGAAGGUGCAGAUAUUAGUCUCGGACGAUCCGUCCGGUCCGAUCGCAUGGUGGCACAACUCCUGAAGGUGUUUGGCCCUCCUCCUCACUUCCAUGCUCUCGCUGUCGCCUAGAUCCAUGAACUUGCGUACUAGCCCAGCGAUGUCGUGUUUGCCGACCCUCCACCCAACCUUCCAAUCGUCCACGAUGAUCUUGCAAUUGUAAUCUUGGUCCAUGGCUACUGGGUACGCCAGGAAAGGAAGCCCCGCGUAGAUGCCCUCUUGGAUCGAGUUCCAUCCACAGUGAGUCCAGAACCCCCCGACCGAGGGAUGCGUCAGUACCCUCAGCUGGUCGCACCACGGCACCACGAUCCCAGAGUCGCCUCCGGGCAACAGCUCCUUCAGCCUGGAUGCCUCAUCUCGCGCCACCCACAAGAACCUUUCAUUACUGUCGCGCAACCCUGCUGCAAUCUCGUCCAUUUUGGAACUCGAGACUGAAACGAGGCUGCCUAGGGACACGAACAAAACCGAGCUACCCAGCUGGCGGUCCAGCCACUUCGUUAUGUAGUCCGAGUCGCUGUUCGAGCUUGGAUUUUCUUGCAGCUCAAAGUACGGGAUGGAUGGACCGAUAGUGUAGAUAGGAAUCGACAGGCUCGGUUUCAGAGCGUUGACGGUCUGAGAUUCGAUCUCGUACACAGAAGAAAGCAACAGGUACUGUGUUCGAUGGACCCAGUCGACUAUCGAGCGCAUUUUCUGCAUCAUACGUUCGCUCCUUCCACCAAUCAAGUCCGUCAAACGUGUUGGAGGAAUCCCAGGAAUGUAAUCCACCAUGUCAUUCCCCUUUUCUGUGACAGAAAAGACGGUGGUUACUCAUUAGAUAAUCUGAAAAUGGACAUCGGAUGCUGAAAUUUUUGUGCAUCAAAACAGCAAGAACCACAGGAACUUGAUUUGCGAUUUGGUACGCAGAAAUAGUAUGGGUGCAGACUUCAAUUUCUUUGGUCGAAGGUACAUACAUCUUUUCCAGAGUCACAAAAUUUAGGUGUGCCUGAUAGGCAAGGUACGGAAGUUUGACAAGUUUUGAUUCUGAAGUAGAUUUAGAACGGCGGCUGACCUGACGAGUUCUGUGGUAAAUGGCCAUGCUGCUCAAGAAGUUGGAAGUGGUACAAGAAGGAGAAGUUUGAGGCCGCAAUAGGCCAAAACGAGGCCACCGGAAUGUUCCUCCGGUUCCCAACGUGGACUGGCCAGUUCAGGAACAUGUCGGCCACCAGAAGGGUCGGUGGGGGGCGGAGCUGGUCGAGCACCUUCUCAAACGGGGCUUCCAUCUUCGUGUAGACGGCCUCGGUGAACUCAGAGGAGAGCUGAGUCCGGACCCGCUCAGAUGGGAGCACGUUGGGGAUGGUGCAAAGGAUAUGUUGCUCGGCUUAUGGUCAGAGCCGAUGAAGCCUAGCCCCACUCCUCGGUCAGGACGAUUGUGACGGUCACGUGCGGGGCUCGGGAGGCUAGGAUCUUGCACAGGUUCAUCAGAGGGUUGAUGUGCCCUAGUGCGGGGAAAGGCAUCGCCACCACAUGGCAGGUCGGUGCUUGGCGGUCCAUCCGAUCGACUAGGCAGCGGGAGGUGAUGGUGAGUGCGUGGUCGUUAGUUCCGACGAGCCUCGGCGGAUCAAAUCGGCAAGCGACCGAGUGAAGGGACGGGAUCGAUUGACUACAGCGCAAAUUCCGAGCACUGAUGGGAAAUGACUUGAGUGGGUAAUAGAUGAGAUAUGAGGUCUGAUGCAAGUUACGCCUUACCAAAUAAAUUUAUCUUGUCGUGUGUUUUUACUACUCCAACUCGUGAUGGUGACAGCCACCAAAAAUUCAACGAGUUCCCCAAAAUUCCAAGUGUUGUUUGCUUGUGGUUUUGAAGCACCUUCGUGGUGGUUGAGUCAUGGGGUUGAAAACCGUUAGGGAGUAGUUAAGGUGGGUUUGAUAAAACUUCUGUUUGGAAUAAUUUUUUAAUAAAAAUAAUUUUUUUUAUUUUUGUUCUCAAAAAUAAUUUUUUAGUAUAAGAACGCGUUUAAUAACUAUACAAAAUUUAUAUUCUAAAAAAAAAUGUGUUUGGUAAAAUUAUAUAAUUUUGUUGUUAAUUUUAAUUUUUUAAUAUUUUUUUAUUUUUCUUUUCUCUCGUUCUUCCUCUUUGUGGUGGAUCGCCGGUGGCUAACAAUCGGUUGGGUAAGGUUCGGCGAGCUUACCAGAGCCUCGCUUGACCAACGGCAAGGCUUGAUCUCGCCAAAAUUGGGCGAGGCUGAGUCUCGCCGAUGGCCUCGGUGGCGAGGCGAGCCUCACCUGGGCUGGGCGAGCUCAAGCUCACCCAGAUCUAGCAAGGCCGAGCUUGCUCAGCCAAAAGGAAUAAAAAAAAAAAAAAAGAGAAGAAAAAAAAGAGGAUAGAUAAAAAUUGUUUCCAGAAAUUAUUCUCGAGAACAAAAAGUUACUUUUUUUCUAUUUUUUGUUUUUGUUUCAAAUUUGUUCCCAAGAACAAAAAAAUAGAUUUUUUGUUCCCAGGAAUAAAAUUUUUACCAAAUAUAUUUAUGUUCUUUUUUUUCCCUGAAACAAAAAAAAAAAAAAAAAUUUUGUUCCGAGAAACAUAAACAAAAAUUUCUGUUCUGUUCCGAGAAACAGAAACACAAACAUGCCCUAAAUAUUUGUAAUCAUAGACGAGUCUGUGUUGAAUUCUUGUAGCGCACUUCUUUUAUACCGUGCUCGGUGGGAAACUCUUCUGCAAACCGCUACCAACAAUCCUUGAUCGUGCGUCAGAAUUGCACUUUCCCCCCGCCUUUUGCAGCCGAGAAUUUGGAUCAAUCGAGAGAUCCUGAAUCGUGGGUUCUCGAAAGGUCCCCAGCUUGUUGCAUUAGUACGUUAUUUUCCUUGAGACGUUGGAGUAACACGACCUGCCUAUCAGGACCACUCGGACAAAAGCUCGUUGCAAUUUGCUCGCCCUCUUCCUGAUUUCCUUCCCGUCCUAACUGUCCAAGUCCAUGAUGAUCCUAUGGACAGUCUCAGCAAUGGCUUGUCUCGACAAUAAUUCAUGUAUCGUCUUUUUCACUCCCCAACAAAUCUUACACUUCCGCUUGACCUGCUUACCAUUGGGAUCUUGAUCCAAUAAGAUUGGGAAGACGAGCAUUCGAUUGAAGAGUGGUUCAGCACCCGUGAUGCAUCUAGAACCCUCCAACCGAAGAGUGGUUCAGCACCUUCGACUGAUCACACCGGGCACCACCAGACCCCUAUUGCUGCAAACGCCUUCUUUGACCCAAGCACCGGUGUCCCCACUCGCCCGCAAGAACGUACUCCCCCGUUGCGCACUCCCAUAGGUCACUCGAGACCGAUAGGAAACUCGCCAGAAAAAUAAACAGGACGGAGUCUUC